UCUUUCAAAGGUUGUGUCGGCAAAGAUCAUGUAUUACCAUUAUUAAAUUCUCUUCUUCUAACAGUUGAUCGCCUCAUCAAUUCCUUCCAUAGAAUUCAUGUCUUCAUCGUCGAAACUCCAACGGAGGUACGAUGUGCUAAUCAACUUUAAUGGAGAAGACAUCCACAGGAAAUUUGUUUCUCAUCUCGAUUCAGCCCUCUCUACUGUUGGCUUCACCACCUUCCUUCACGAGGAGAACACAAUGAAGGGAAUGAACAUCCAAGAACCUAUUCUCAAUCUCUGUCGGGUAGCAAUAGUUGUUUUCACCAAAACAUAUUCUCAAUCUUCUUGGUGUCUUAAUCAGCUUCAACAAAUCAUUAAAUGGAACGAAACUUAUUGUCGACAUGUUCUGCCCGUAUAUUACGAAAUCCAGCCAUCUGAUGUGCGUCUUCAAAAGGGUGAUUUUGGAAAAGCCCUGGAGGUAACUGCACAACAAACAUUUUCCGGACACCACCAGGAGCGUGGCAUGUCCAAGUGGAGCCAAGCACUCACCAAAGCUGCAAAUUUCUUUGGAUGGGAUGAGAGCAAUCACAGGAGCGAUGCUGAACUAGUUGAGAAAAUCGUUAAGAGCGUUCUUAAUUUACCAAUCUUGUCUGCUACUAAAUUUCCAGUCGGAUUACAUUCCCGCGUGGAAAAAGUGAUCGGAACUAUCAAAAAUAAUUCCACCAAAGUUUGUAUAAUAGGGAUAUGUGGAGAGGGAGGAUCUGGUAAAACCACCCUUGCCAGAGCCAUCUACCAUCAAAUUCAGCUUAGAUUCACGGAGAAAAGUUUCAUUGAAGAUAUUGGACAAGUUGGCGGAAUAAAAGGGGAUCUUCGUUUACGAGAACAACUUCUUCUAGAUAUCCUAAAAACAAAGGUGGAGAUACCUAGUGUUGAUAUGGGAAGAAGUAUGAUUCGGGAAAGACUAUCUGGGAAAAGGAUGCUCAUUGUACUUGACGACGUUCCUUACUGUAGUAUAUUAUUAGACCUAUGGGAUCGAUUUAAAUGGUUGGGUGGAGGAACUGUAGUAAUCAUUACAACAAGAGAUGAAAGCAUCCUGACGAUACCUCAAGGUUAUUCUGUUUUUCGAACAAAGCUAAUGAAUGCAAAGGAGUCCCUUGAGCUUCUUAGUUGGCACGCAUUUAGGGAAGCAAAACCAAAAGAAGAAUACUAUGGCCUUGCGAAAAGAGUAGUUCAUAAUUGUGGAGGACUACCUCUAGCACUUGAAGUCAUUGGAAGUACUUUAUUUGAAAGGACAAAAUACAUAUGGCAUAGUGUACUGUUUAAAUUAGAGAAAAUUCCCCGAUACAAUGUUAUUGAGAAACUGAAAAUAAGCUUCGACAGUUUAAGCAAUCAGAUGGAAAGAUAUAUAUUCCUUGAUGUAUGUUGUUUCUUUGUUGGUAAGGGCAUAGCCUAUGCGACGAAGAUCCUAAAUGGCUGUGGAGUAGAGGCUAAUAAUGGAAUAAGAGUUUUGAUUGAGCGUAGCCUUAUAAAAGUUAAGAAGAACAACAAAUGUGGAAUGCAUCCUUUACUACAAGAAAUGGGAAUAACACUUAGUCGUGAAAUUUCACUAAAGGAACCUGGGGAAAACAGGCGACUAUGGUUUCAUAAAGAUGAAAAAUAUGGGACAAAAGCCAUGCACUGGUUGCCAUUGAAUCAAGAUCAAGUACAACUGGCUGUAAAUUCUGAGUACCUUUUCCAGAAACUGAGAUGGAUCAGUUUGCAUGGGUUUUCUUCAGAAUACCUACACAACAAAUUUUAUGUGCAUGAUGCAAUAGCGAUUGAUUUGAAACACAGUCUUCUUCGACUCGUUUGGAAAGAACCCCAGGUUUUGAGGUCGCUAAAAGUCCUUAACCUCAGUCACUGCAAGUACUUAACAACAACUCCUGACUUUACGGGACUACAAAGUCUUGAACAACUCAUUCUGAAAUGUUGUCCAAGAUUGCGCAAAGUACACCAAUCUAUUGGAUGUCUCGGCAAUCUUUUACUCCUAAAUUUGAAAGACUGUACAAAUCUAAGCAAUCUCCCCAGAGGGAUAUACAAGUUGAAAUCUCUAAAAACUCUCAUUCUCUCUGGUUGUUCAAAGAUUGACCUAAUGGAAAAAGAUACAGCGGAGAUGGAAUCCUUGAUAACUCUGAUCGCUGAAAAUACAGCUGUAAAAGAACUACCUAUUUCUAUUGUAAGCUCAAAAAGCAUUGGAUACAUAUCCCUAGGUCGAUUCGAGAGAUUGUCACCAAAUAUUUUUCCUUCUGUUAUUCGGUCUUGGAUAUCGCCAACAAUGAAUCCCAUAUCUUACAUGCACUCGUUUUGCAUGGAUAUAGAGGACAAUAAUUGGGAUGAUAUUGCACCAUUGCUUAGCACCCUUAGAAAUCUUCGAAGUGUUUUGGUGUAAUGUGACACCGAGUUUCGACUAGCUAAACAAGUAAAAGAUAUUCUGGUUGAAUAUUUUGCUAAUAUUACAGAAUCAGGAAUUUCAAAGCGUCACGUCAAGUCUUCUUUGAUUGGUGUCGGAGGAUACAAUGCAUUAUUCAAUACUGUCAGCCAUAGCAUAUCUGAGGUUUUGACAGGCAGUGAAUCUGGUGAUGUUUCUCUCCUACCUAUUGGUGAUCCUUAUUGGUUGGGUCAUACGGGUGAGGGACAUUCUGUUUCUUUCACUGUGCCUCAAGAUCGUGACAUUAAGGGAAUGAUUCUGUGUGUUUUUUAUUUAUCAAUCCCUAAAAUCAUCGAACCUGAAUUUACUACUGUCUUAAUUGUUAAUUACACAAAGUGUAGAUGCCACAUACACAACCUUGGCACAAUAAUUUCCUUUAAUGAUGAAGAUUGGCAUAGCAUAAUGUCGAAUUUAGGAUCUGGAGAUAAAGUGGAGAUUUUUGUGAAUUUCGGUAAUGGAUUGGUGGUGAAGAAGACAACAGUGUAUCUGAUAUGUGGUGAAUCACAACACUUUGAAAGAAAGUCAGAGCCAAACAAAAAUUCCCUGGUUAGAUUCAUAAAGAAAAUUGUAAGGUGACUUGUCGAAAGUCAUUUAUCUUCUCAUGAGAUGACAUUAGUUAUGGAAUUAACUCUAGUGUCCUUCAUUGCUAUUUGUUUUUUCCCAUCCUUUCCUUUUUUUUCUUUAGAGUAUAUCUUAUAGUUAAGAAGUU
Vigna unguiculata (cowpea) is the source of this 3158-nucleotide unclassified non-coding RNA. Lineage: Eukaryota; Viridiplantae; Streptophyta; Magnoliopsida; Fabales; Fabaceae. The record is from RefSeq and is a predicted model, not a curated record.